Molecule: ribosomal RNA, 556 nt
Filed under: Sigmophoranema sp. NRR-2010
Lineage: Eukaryota; Metazoa; Nematoda; Chromadorea; Desmodorida; Desmodoridae
Description: eukaryotic LSU rRNA
Rfam family: Eukaryotic large subunit ribosomal RNA
Source: RNAcentral
CUUUUGCCUGAUNGAAACACGGGUUUUAAGGAUNUGGUGUGGCCAUANCGUGCAUUUUCUGUAGAUGUGCAUUGGAACUUGUGUAAANCGCUAGAUUUAUCACGGUGAGNGCCGGCCGACAAGNUGGUGACCCAUCGCUGUGNCUNACUGAGUUGCUUAUNCAAGAAUUUUUACUUGAGAUCCGUUUGAUACUCAUCAGUUUACUGAGUCUUGGUAAAUGAACAGUGGCUUUAUGCAUGCAUGAAUCUGCGAUCCUUGUCUUGAUGAUGUGAAUGGCAUGAGUUGAUCUCAAACUCCAGUGUUUUUGUCAGUGUCCCAUCUGACCCGUCUUGAAACACGGACCAAGGAGUCUAACAUGUGCACGAGUCACUGGGUUGUUAAACCUAUGGGCGCAAUGAAAGUGAAGUCCAGUUUGGCUGGCUAACAUGGGACCUUUUGAUUAUAUCAGAAGAGCACCAUGAUCCCAUCCAUUCUGCAUUGUCAGUUGGAUGGAGAUAGAGUGUACACGUUGGGACCCGAAAGAUGGUGAACUAUGCCUGAGCAGGGUGAAGUCAGA